UGGUGAGUUGGAGCUGACACAAUGCCGGCAGGUGCCUUUGUCUCAAUCCCCUCCAUCCAUCUUUAUCGGAUUUGCCAGACUCUCCCUCACUCUUUUUCCUUUCUUUACUUUACAUUGAAGGCAGCUGGGAAUGGAUCUGCAGGACGACUCUCCCAGGACAAUAAUAAUGAUCCAGGCAGCCUCAGGCAGCAGAUCUGGAAAUCCUUGGGAGAUUACCAUGGAAUGCAAACACUCAGCGCCACCCUGUGCUAAGAGCCAGAGGUGAGAUGGAAUGGGAGUUCCUGCUGUUGUGAAGGCCUGGCAGCAGUUCUGGCAAGUUUUAGGGAGAAGCUGAGACUCUUGAUUCCUUUUCUUGUCCUAGUGUGGAUGCUAAGUUUGGGAAGGCAAAACAGAUUAUAUAUGCAUAGUUUUUCUCAAUCCUGCCAAGCCAGGCUGAUGUGGAGAAGAUCAUCUGGGCGCCUCUUGGCAGAAGACAAUCAUUUCCCAAGAUCUUGGUGAACGUCUCUGAGAAAAAGGGGGCUUUCCCUCCCGAACAGACACCCAGUAGCUGCCCCCUUCCAUCUUCUAUGAACACCGAGGGCACACAAGGGUAUGAUUAAGCUACACCCUACCUCUCCCCUUCUCAAGAGAUGAACAGGGCAUUCAUGCCGCCUGGAGCUCCCAUUGUGUCCCCUAUUCCUGGGAGCGCCUAGUGGCUGAGUGUCAACUGCUCACAGUUACCUCCUCGGCUCCCCAAAACCCAUCUCCUCACAGGAACCUGGCUGGGAGGCCAAAUUCUGCAAAUCCAUUUGGGGAAAUAAAAGCCUUUUAACCUAAUUUCUUCCUCAGAAUUAUUUAUGUCCCU
This 844-nucleotide long non-coding RNA is filed under the name Homo sapiens (human). RNAcentral describes it as "HSALNT0183728". The record is from RNAcentral. Lineage: Eukaryota; Metazoa; Chordata; Mammalia; Primates; Hominidae.